Molecule: non-coding RNA, 30 nt
Filed under: Homo sapiens (human)
Lineage: Eukaryota; Metazoa; Chordata; Mammalia; Primates; Hominidae
Source: RNAcentral
ACCAGAGCUGAGAGAUGGUCCAAGCUCCCC